This 87-nucleotide non-coding RNA is filed under the name Pseudomonas sp. 478. Lineage: Bacteria; Pseudomonadati; Pseudomonadota; Gammaproteobacteria; Pseudomonadales; Pseudomonadaceae. The record is from RNAcentral. RNAcentral also lists the same sequence under 1 other name.
UUUUAUGGCGGCUGUGCGCGGGACACUCUCGGGUGUGCCGGGUCUUUCAGGUACCGGUCGGCCAACCCGCACACGGCUGCCACCUUA